GGAAGAUCCUUUUAGAUAUUAUUUACUCAUUAGACAGACCGAUAAAGAAACUAAAGCCCAGAGCAGGGCAGUAGCUGCUGGAGGGCCCAGAGCCACGUGGUAGGAGAGCUGGGAGAGAGGCCUGGGUACUGAGAGAGCUGCUGUGUUUGGGCUGCUCUACACAUCCCCGUGUUUCUGUAUUCCUCCAUGCUCACGGAGUCUUCCUCAGACUUCAGUCUCCAGAUGUGCCAUAGUUUAAUUUGGGGGUCCUCAAGUCAAAAUUUCAAGAACUGAAGAAUACGGAUCAUGAGACCUGCUGAAUAACAUCGAAGGAACUUCUGAACACGCCACCAUUUAAGCGGAGAGGGUCCCUCCCUUCCGCUGCAAUCAGGCUAUUACAGGCUCGCUCUGCCUCUUACCCGCUGGGCGCAGGCCAAGCCCAGAGCCCGGGGCUCCUACUAUGACUUGGCUGAGCAGCAAGCUAUUCAUCCACACGUCCAAGGCCACUUUUGUGCGAACAGCUUCGCAUCACCUGCCCCUGGAGACUUCGGAUCACCCCUCUGCUCCCCCGCCCUCCCCUGCUCCAGCCCCUCUCUGGCUGUGCAGGAGCCAAAGGGGAUUUGUGAUAACAGAGUCACAGGCACAGGCCCAACCCAGGCCCGAGGAGCUUGACCUGAGGCAAGAGCAUAGCCCAGAACAACACACGCCACUCCCCAGCAAGGAGGGGUGGCCCGGCACUCAAAUCGAAAACUCCUGGGCUUUUGAUGGAAGCCAUAAAACAAAGGUAGUAUUCCAGAAGGAAUCUCAGAUCCUUGUUCAUACUGGAGCCCAAGUGACCAUUAAAACAAGAGGCUGCUUCUCCAUAGGCAGUUCCGAGGAUCAAGGUUUCUGUUAAUUCUGGAUUUGGAAAAACAUACCUGGGAAGGAGGCAGGCACUCCCACUGCAUUACCUCUGAGAAAGACACAAGAUUUCUAUGGGAAUUUGAUGGAAACAAGGGGGAAUGCCCCAGGAAGCAUCCAUAGAUUCCCACAAAACAUGCAUAGAGAGUGGAUGCUCAUCGCUUCUUUUGGAGAUCCUCAACUACCAUGUUUUAUGUUUUAUUUGUAUUACUUUCUGGUGUCCAAAAUGCUGAUGUACCUGAGGACUUCGAGACACAGAGGAGAUGUGGCCAAGCGUUGGAAGGGUUUGUUCGUUUGUUUGAAUGCAAAGGGAAGAGAUAGUCAAUAGUGUCUGAGGAAGAGCAUUUCUCCGGGAACGUGUCACAACUUCAUCCUGCAGUCAAGGGGGAAAGUGCUAGACCAAACUGAAGCCCUGGUUUUAUCACUAGCCAGUUCUGAACUUAAACCUGUCCUCACUUCAGUGAGCCUCCGUCACCUUAACUGUCACCUGAGAACACCGCACAGGGUGGUGGGAGAUUGAGAGACUGGAGAAGUGCUGUCUGCACUGUGAAGUGUGGCGCCGAGAAGAGGAUUCAGUCAGGCUGCUUCCUCAGGCUCCUCUGUGAUCAGCACUCAGAUUAAAUCCUGACCUGCAGGGACAUGCAGAGGCCAUCACCUCACCUUGUGCAGCAAUUGCUACUUGCUGAUAAUGCAACAGUCCCGUGCCUCCGGGAAAAAGAGGAAUCUUGAGGAAGGCUCUAAGACUUCUAAGGCUUGAAAUGAGCAUGUAGAAACUGCCAGGCUAAUGAGGCCAUGGGCCAUUCCUCCGGGGUGCCCACGAGAGAUGCUUUUAUCUACCACAGAUCCUCUCUCUCCCGUCCUCCACAUGUGCACACUUAGCCCCCGCUUUGAGCUGCAAUGCAAGGACCAGCCCCUCUCAAGGCCUUCCCUGACUGUGUUCUGUUCUCGUCUCUAGGCCACAGGAUUCUCGUCCAUCUGAUUCCAGUAGCAUCUACCACUCGUUCUGCUCAUCUGUUACUAAAGUUAAAUUAAAUAGUUUAUGGAGUACUCACUAUGUGGAAGGCUUUAUGCUGAUCAUAAUCCUAUAGUGCCUUGAUUAAUUUUUCCAGAUUGUUCAUCUCUAUUCGCAGAUCCACCAAACCAGACGAUGCUGCUGGCGGAAAAAUGUGCACGCUCUGGUGUUCGUGCAAGAAUGAGAAGACCUCUGUGGCGCAGUGGCAGGAGCCCCAGUGCAUGGUUGUAUAUCCUAGUUGUAAGUUCUGGUUCUUCUAUGUGAGCUGCCGCCACAACAUGGCAACUGUCAGAUGCGUAGUGCAGUUCUGAGACCAGGAAGGGAACCCGGGCCACUGAAGAGGUUAUAAAAAUAACACAGACUCACUGUAUACAACUUGUAAAAUACAGAAGUGUAUAAAGAAGGAAAUAAAACUACCAUUAACCCGUGCUCCAGAGGUCUUAGAAUGUCCAUCAGGAGGGAACGCUUUGAACCAGGCAUCACGCUCUGGGCGGGAUUCCAAGUCAGCCCUGAAAACAGUCAGAGCUACCCCGGGUCCCCUCCUGGCUGCGCAGAAUGGCUGAAAGAGUGGGUUCUCCCUUCUGCCCGGCCCCCCACCCCGGCUCGGUUCCCCACGUCGUCUGAAGAGCCCGCUCUGAGCCCAGACAGCGACGAGACAAGGCGCUUUUCUUACGGCAGGACAUCCUCUCCUCACCCAGACCUCCAAGGAUUUCUCAUCAGAGAGACAAAGUGUCUUUAUUUUAAAGGCUCCAUGUAGCAGGGCCAGAAGUUUCUUGUGUUAUUAAGAAGGGGGUGGGGGAGGGGAAAGGGCCGAUGAGGCUACUUACUUAAUAGCUCCUAACAGCUGUGGAAAGUUUGAUGCAGCAGGAGCACCCGGACAGAAAAUUAAAAAACUAAUAAAGUCCUCAGUGUGGGGGCGCUGGCAUCAGGACAGCUUUACUUCUCCAGACACCUAAUAAAGAGACAUUCCGGGACACUCACUCAUAAGGGGAGUCUGCAGGGGUCACCGGGAACAGUGGAAAGUGAGCCAUGGAAACCUAGCAGUCACUCACAGCGCCGUGGGGAAGUUUCGUUUGCUUCUCCUCUUCCCCGCCCCCCCCCCACCUCCGCUUUUCGCCGUUUUGGAAGAAUGGCAGGGUGCUCAGGACCCAAAGAAGGAAAAGGAGGACUGAAAAAAGAGAAAAAGAGGAGGGGGGCGAUUCCAGGAGCCUCAAUGUAGAAAUCAUGCACUUUCAUGGAGGGAACGAGCGUGAAGCUGAGGUUGGCAGUUUAGACAUAGCAGGACGGGAGGUGAUGGUCACCAUGCAGGGGCACGUUGAGAUCCCGAGGCGGCUGGCUUCUGGAGGUAGCAGAGAAAGGCGGUUUAGAGAAAUGAGGUUUAUUCAGCUGGAUUUUAUGAAGCACCCUCCUCACGAAAGGUUUUCUCGUGUGGGUUUUUCCACUGUCGUUACGAGGUCAUUUUGGAUCUGAGCUCCUUGGGGUCUGCUAGGUUCUGGGUUGCUGGGUUGGGACUUUUGCUUUAAAGGACAUUUAUGUUGUUUUGUCUUGGUCCUCAAGUUGGGCUUUGUGUAUUUGAAGAAAAAAUAUGAUGACUUGGGACAACCAAACCAUCAGCCAGUUGUGGAGGCAUCCACUGAGCUGGUGGGGCCAGUCUUCUCACACACACAACGUGCCAGCACCAAAGGUAGACUGCAGUGGCCUGCUAACAAAAGGAGAGUACAGUGGAAUGAGUCAGCCAGAGCAAGACAAAUACUGUGGGAUCUCACUCACAUGUGAAAUCUAAAAGAAUCGAACUCAUAGAAACAAAACAGAUAGGUGUUUGCCAGAGGCGGGUGGAAGGGGUGUGUGGGUAUGUG
This 3747-nucleotide long non-coding RNA is filed under the name Equus asinus (donkey). Its description in RNAcentral is "lncRNA (ENSEASG00005033899.1)". The record is from RNAcentral. Lineage: Eukaryota; Metazoa; Chordata; Mammalia; Perissodactyla; Equidae.